This is a long non-coding RNA of Cydia pomonella (codling moth), 1179 nucleotides long. RefSeq lists it as uncharacterized. The record is from RefSeq and is a predicted model, not a curated record. The transcript has 3 exons. Lineage: Eukaryota; Metazoa; Arthropoda; Insecta; Lepidoptera; Tortricidae.
GUUUUAAUACAAAUCUUUUUUUUGAAUCUUACUACUACCUGCCGAGUGGUUUGUUGUGUAUUUACAGUGCUAGUAAAUAAAAAAAGCUGGGAAUUGUUCAUUGGUGGUAGGUAUAAAACAAACCUACUAAGAAGUCACAGUUAGUUGCCGCUAAGGCCGUUUUGCGAAACUGGAUGGUACCUAUAGUUUCAUCAAACCUGGCACUUACUCGUAUAACCAAUGAUAAUAUAACGUUGGCCACAACUAGCUAAAACUGUCCACGAAGACCGUUUGGUCGCUACGCUUUAUGAUCUCCUUCUACGUAAUUAGUCUUACUGCACUAAUGCACUUUAGGUACGAUUCGGUUAAACUAUUGUCAUAUGUAAUGUUCAUAUACAGUGUGUUACCAUCAUGCGGGCAUUUAUUAAAUCUGAUAAUAAUACGAUCCAGUAGCAAUUGUUUGCGUGUAUUAGCAGAUCAUAAUUAUGUGAAUUAAAUUUCUGAAAUCCGCACAAUCAAUGUAGUGGGUGUACUACUGCACUUGGUACAAGGCGUGUCGUGGUACGGGGGUAAAAAACCGAGACAACUAACAAAAAAAAUAUUGUCGUCCUUAUCAUUGCGUUCAUGUUGGUGAGGUUUUAAUACAUUCGAAACAGUUUUUAAUAAACUUCGACAUGACAAUUUGAAAUGUUUACGUCGGGUUGUCAAGUCAAACCAAAAUAUUAGCAAAAUUGUUAUUUGAUUUUCUUUAAAAUGCCUUACGGGUGGCUUACGUUAGCAUACCCGAGAUUUGUUGAAACACGUGGAAAGGCAGCUUAUGGCUUUAUCAGAAACGCUUCCCAAAUUAACGACAUUCACACAAUGCUCGAUUUUUAACCGCGGCUCUUCAGCGAGUUCGUGAGAAUAGGCCAAUCGCCCCUGGUCAACUUGAAAGGGCCAUGAACGGGAUCGUGCCAGUGCAAGUUGAAAAAAGGAUUCUCGAGCACUUCAGACAGAUGCGUCAGGCACCCAUAUGUCAAGGGGAUUUCAUUGCAAUCAAUCACGAUCGCGUCUCGUCCCGUAUAAGUCAGCAUCAGGUAACAUGAGGGCACCUUAUAGAGAUCUUUUAGACCAGCCACGCUGUAGGACUGAGAUUUACAAACGGAAUGCGUAUUACACGUGUAUUCUCGUUUACAACAAUCUACCAACAGAAAUCAGGAA